Molecule: non-coding RNA, 72 nt
Organism: Pangasianodon gigas (Mekong giant catfish)
Lineage: Eukaryota; Metazoa; Chordata; Actinopteri; Siluriformes; Pangasiidae
Source: the annotation of a GenBank genome assembly
UCCCUGGUGGACUAGUGGCUAGCAUGCAGCGCUCUCACCGUCGUAGCCCGGGUUCGAUUCAUGGUUAGUAAA